GCUUUGAAUAGGGCAAAGUGGAGGGAAGGGAGGCCCUAAUUACAAGAUGGUGGCCCUGGGGGACAUGCCUGGAGAGAGGAAGGCCUUUGUAGCCACAUAGAUGGGAACUCCUCUGUUUCCUAGAGGUCCCAAGUUCCCUGGAGAGUAAAUGCCUCUCUUUGAGUGUGAGAGUUCCAUAGCUCUCCAUCAGGCGUGUGUUCCCCCCCGCUGGAUGAGAGCCAAGCACAAGGAGACACUUCCCUGGGUGUCGAUCUGUCGGAUACUCCUGUCCUGGGUUAUGUGACCUGUCACCUGUGCUGACAGAUGGGCUGCCUUUUCCCAUCCCCUCACAGCUGGGACCUGAAGGAGUUGGAAGACUAACUGGGGGUCUCUAGAGUUUGAGUUUUUGUUUUCAUUUUUUAAAGAUUGGCACCUGAGCUAACAUGUGUUACCAACCUUUUUUUUUUCCUUCUUCUUCUCCCAAAGCCCCCCCACUUCCAGUGCCUAGUUGUAUACACCAGUUGUUGGACCCACAACUAAAAAUACACAACUAUUUAUCAGGUGGCUUUGGGAAGGAAAAGGAAAAAUAAAAAGACGCAUAAAGAACCUCAUACAGACCAAAGAGAGUUUGAAAUUGCUAUUUUAAAAGGCAUAGCAGAAAAGAGAGUUUUGAUAGAAAAAUGGAUCAAAAUAAAUAAGCAGUGAAAUCUAAUUCUGACAUAGCUUCCAGCUGUCUGGCAUACUGGUUGAGUUUUGAAGACCUGGGCCACUGUUCCUCUUUGCUGGGGGUGACACACGGGCCAGAAGCAGGGAGACCUAAGGCUGAGGCCCAAAGGAAGGUGAAAGGUGGCCUCAGGUCUUGGAAGCUCUGCCGUCUUGGCAGAGCAGAUUGGGGCACAGCAGAGCCCAGGGCGGGGUGCCGGCCAGCUGUCCACCAGUCACAGUCUCAGGUGAAUGGAAUGAAGAGGGGGCCACUGGGAAACGCAGGAGCUGCUGCCACAACUGUGCGGGAUACCUGCGGCCUGCUCUGGGCCUCCUCUCCCUGGCCUUGUCCCCUUGCAACUCUGUUUUACAGUUGACAAAGCAGAGGUUCAGGAAGAGCCUGGUCCUCUCUUUCCAGAGCCUCAGGUCUUUCUGCUCCAGAACGAAGACAGUGACCUCACUACCCUGCUGGUAUUUGUGUACCAGGCACUGGGCGUGUUUCUUCUCAUUUAACCACAGAGCAGCCCUGGGAAAGGAAGCACUGUUAUCAUUCCCAUUUUUCAGGUGAGGAACAGGUUCAGAAAGGUCAAGAAACUUGCUUCAGGUCUCACAGCUGGCAAGUGGACUCUCUGGCUCCAGAGAAGUCUGCUUCUAACCCUGUGAGGCUUCCCCCCCCCCCCCCCCCCCCCGCCCCGCACUGGGGUGACUGACUGCCUCUAAAUGUUCUACCUGCCUUUGGCUUGAAACCGUGGAGCUCGAGGAGAGAAAGCAUUGGAAGAAGAAAAAAAAAAAAAGCCGUGCCCUCCUGGAGUGAACCUCCAAGGUCAUUCUCUUGACACCUGACUCAAGUGGAAGAGGAAGCCUGGAGGUGGGGAGUCCAGGGGUGAUGCAGUGAUUCAAGGAUGCCAUCAAAAACCCAGGCUUUACCUUUGCUCCACCACCCUUCUCACCUCGUCGUCACAAAAGGGCUACUGCUGUUCAAGGCAUCACCUCCACAUUCCAAGAAGAAGAAAGGCAAGGCAGAGGGGCAAUAAUAUCCUCUCCUUUUAUGGGGAGACGGCUUUCCCAGAAAACUCCCCCUCCACCCAGCAGACUUCUACUUAAACUUCACUGGCUAGAACUCCAUCACUUGGCCACUCUGGCAGUUAGGGAUGCCAGAAAGGUGAGGAUUCACCAAGUGGGAAAGAGGAAGCAGCCAAGGAGGAGUGGGUCAGUAAUAGCUGCAGAAUUAGCCCACAGUAUCUGCCAAAACUAUGUAAGUUAUUUUUUAAUGUAAUUGUCUUGGUGAGUUUUCUUAUUACAAAAGCAAUGAAUAUACAUUGUUACUUUAGAAAAUAAAGACUUAAAAAUCUCUACAGUCCCAUCACACAGAAGUAACCACUGUUUAUUCCUGGUUUAUGAUCCUUCCAGAUCUUUGUAUUUUUUUUUUCAUGAAUGAAACCACUCAAUGGGUUGCUCCGUAAUUAGCCUUCUCACUUGAUAUGGUGAAAAAAAU
Molecule: long non-coding RNA, 2176 nt
Filed under: Equus asinus (donkey)
Lineage: Eukaryota; Metazoa; Chordata; Mammalia; Perissodactyla; Equidae
Description: lncRNA (ENSEASG00005037290.1)
Source: RNAcentral